AGAAAAUUAUACAAAUUCUAGGUUUAGAAAUAUAAAAUUAAAAGAGUUAGCCCCAAAAGCCACAAACUCAGGGCUAAGCCCUGCCGCCAGGAAUAACAGGCCAUAAAGAUAAAGAAAAGGAAUGCAGGAUCCAGCUCAGGCUAUCGAGGACUGACCCAUAAACCAUCCAAAGACGUCCCCCCAGCUUACUCAGAGUCAUACUUUAACCAGAUGUCCUCCAGACCCUGAUAAGCCCCUACUUGUGCUUUUCAGCCAUUGUGUCCUGCAGAGAGCACUCCAAGAAACCGGACAGCCCAAGCCUAACCAGAGGUGUUUCAAAUACAAAUGCUCCAUCAGUUUUGACAAACGUUUAAAAAUAAUGAGGACCUGAAGACCCUACCCUUCUCCUGAUUUAGUAGCUCUGUUCCAGGAACCAGGGGGCCAUAAAACCUUCUGGCGUCCCCUUAUCUCCUGGAGCCAUAAAACAAUCUUGUAACUUGUGGUACAUUCCCCUUUGACAUCCCCCAUCCCCUGGUGCUCACAGCCUCUGCCUUUAAAUACUCUUUUUCCCAGCCUCUCGGGGUCGACACCUCUGUCUCCUGCGUGGGAUAUGUGUCGGCCCGGAGAUCUCUGUAAUAGGUCUCCGUAAUAAACCUCGCCUUUGCUUAUUACAUCCAAAAUGGUCUCUCUGUGUCUGGGGUCCGCGAUUUCCCAAGACUUGAGUAAGGGUCUCUCUGCGUGGGAUCUUUCAUAUUUAUGGGGGCUCGUCCGGGAUCUGCGCGACUACCCCAGACUCCGAAGACCCCUUGGAGGUGAGUUGGAUGUUUGUCUGAGUGUUUCUGUGUGAGCGGCGCCGCAAUUGUCAGUCUGUGUCUGUCUCUGUUUUGGUUCCGCCGUGUGUGUAUAUAUGUGUGUCUUAGUACUGGUCAGUGUUAAGAGGGCAGAUGGGUAUUCCUGCCCUGUGUUAAGAGGGCAGAUGGGUGUUCCUGCCUUGUGCUAAGAGGGUGGAUGUGUAUUCCUGCCCUGUGCUAGGAGGGUGGAUGUGUAUUCCUGCCCUGUAGGAGAGUGGAUGUGUAUCCCCACUCAUGCAGCUGCCUUUGUGGUCCGUGAGGACCCCCUGGCUGCGGAAGGGGGGACGCCCCGGGCCCGCAAGGCUGCAGCCCCUGGAAGACGUUCCACGGGCGGAGAACAGUCGGGAGAGCCCGACUAUGGACAGUCAGGAGGACCUGACUCUGGUUUUCUGGAACAAAGGAGAUGGAAUGCUCCUUUUACCUAGGCGGGAGUGGACGAGGAAUCCCACUCCGUCAGAGGUCGAGUUCGGCUGCCUAUUUAAAUAUAGGCACGGACAAGUGUGCUUGGUCGUUAGGACAAGAGGACACUCUGGAAUCCUGUUGGGAGGUGGAAUCAGAUGGUCCAUCUCAUCCCAAAAGCAGCUAAGGUUAAGCUGCAGUUUGGGCCACGUACUGAAGGUACCAGGCAUCUGUGAAAGUUGGUUAUAAGAUGCUUUGUCUUGAUAUUGUUUGUCUGGCUUGUUUUCUGUGGUAUUGUCGAGUGUCUUUUUGGCUUUUGUUUCGUUUUUGAAUUUUGGACUGACGACUGUGUUCGAAUUUGGACUGACGACUGUGUUUAAAAUCUUGGACUGACGACUGUGUUUGAAAUCAUGAAACUGUUUGCUUUGUUCGUCAUAGAGUUUUACUUGGUCCUCUUGGUGCUUAAGUUAAGAGUUAAAAAUAAUUUGCUUGAGAGAAAUUGUUUUCUGCCAGGGAGUUUUGUCUUUCUCUCUUGAGCCUCCUCCCCAAGGAGAGAGGCCCCUCCCUUUACUCCCCUUGAUCAGCCUAGCUGCUGUUAACAGUUGUGUAAACAGACAUUAACAAAAACCUUGAGGACAAAACCUCUCGUAAAUAAAAAAGUUCCCCAGAUUAGGCCUCCGGUAUGAAACAAGUAUAGUGAGUAAGAAACUUAAUUUUAUAGACCCCGCUCUAGUGGCGGUGUGUUGGUUGAUAGCCAACGUUAAUUUUUUAAAACAUAGUGUUUUAUCUGUGCUUGUGCUCGCAACACACAGUAGGGGGGAGCGAAACUAGCUGUGGAGCUGCUACAGCGAGCAUGGAGACUUCUCAAGUCUCACCCAAUUUUUCUGGCUCUUCAGGAGCUGUUUAAAAAGAAAAGGCUUAAGGUAAAAAGAAACACUAUAGAGAGAUUUCUUAGUGAAUUACUACACCUUGGUUCGCCAUCUCUGGGAAUCUCACAGUGGACAGCUGAGAUAAGCUAGAAAAGGAUUUAAAUUUUGCUUGAGAGCAAGGAAUCUUAAAGGCGGAGUUUCAGCCGGUUUGACACUUAGUGCGUAGCUGCCUAAAAGAUCAGAAAUGCUGUCAACAGGCUAUAAAAAAGGGACAGGCUGUGUUAAAAAUGCUACAUAAAGAAUAAUCUAAAAAGGCUGCGAGUGAGGUGGGAGAGGACUCUAAGAAAAACAAGAACAAGAAAGGAAUUUCUGCUUUUAGUGACCAGACCUUCAACUCUUGCUCACAGAAAGAGGGUGCUCAUUAAGAGAAGUUCUUUAAGGAGCCUGCCUUAUCUGCUGGCCCUAUUCCAAGAGAGGAGCCAGUCUCCAGCAUUAAAUUACUUUUCUCACUGGUCAUCAUUAGCAUGGAGAAUGCCUUUGAUCCUAUCCCCACAGCAGCCAGUUCCUGCCCCUGUGGUAGAAAUGUCCCAGGUUGGGGGGCAGAGAAGCCCCUAAAAUAGUUUCAAAGAAUCUACAACAAACUGUAAAGAACUUUGUUUUGUUUUGCCAGUUUGAAUUUAGAAUUCAGGCUUUGGCUGUGGCCAAGGUCAGGAUUAAUGUUUUCUUUUCCAUGGGCCUUUAGCCCACUGAGAAAGUUUGGUAAAGGGCUGCUACUGAGGUCCUGAAAGCCCCAGGUGAACUGGUUACAAUUCUUUUGUCAGCUGCUUAGUAUCUAACACUCAGGUUCUAACCGUCUCUCCAUCCUUUUGUUAUUAGUUCUUACUGGAAGCCUAGUGUCAUUUAGAGGAUGGGUCUCUUGAGUGAUAAAGCCACUGAGCUGGCACUAAAGGAAGGUACUCCUUAAGGGAAAAUCUAAGUCCAGAGAGACAACCGGUAACAGAUAGACUGCCCCUCUGCUCACUUUUCUGUUUCACAGACACAAGGUCUUUUUGUCCCAAGAAAGCCUCCUGGCUUAGCUGUGUGACUAAAUGCUAUUUGCCCUCUUCAGUGGACCUCUAUUCUCAAGAUUCCCUUGUUUUCUCACCAUCCCAUUUGAGAUGCUUGUUAGUAACUGUUACAGGUCUUCUUUACCACCGAGGAAAGACGGAAUCCUACUAGAGGCCAGAAAAAGUGUUCCAGAGAUGGAUAGAAGGCCCUCACUUCUGCCUGCUCUCUUCAGACGCCUAAAGGACUUAAACUGUGAUAGAGUGGCUGAUAGAGUGUCCAAAGAUGGGACCACUGGUCAGCUGCCAUGGACUAGAUUCUCCACCGGUUGGGGACAAUCUGGUCACCUUGCUGCCCAAUCCGGACCUGGAGCCACCACAGCACGAGUGUCAAACACUGACAGAAGCACAUGGGUGGAGGAAAGACCUCUGCGACUGGCUGAUUGACCCCUGCUGAAAGCCGAGGACCUUGUCCACAGACAGGAACAGUUCUCUUCAUGAAUGAAGGUCAGAGACAAGUGGGUGCUGCCAUGGUGGACAACACAAUGUCAUCUAGAAUGGCUGAACCUCUACCCCCCCAGCACAUCAGCGCCACAGAUGUCUUUGCCAUCUCUUAGAUGCCCUGAUGAAGCCAACAACUGUGAGUACUAUUCAUUGCCCAAGAAAACAGGAGGGAAGAGAUUCAGUGACAUGGGGCAGUGACAAAACAGAUAAAGUGGCUCGGGAAAUGGCUAUACAGGAGCCUAUCCUGGUUACAGGCCUACAAGAGACAGCCACUGAGAACUAGGAUUAGACUAAGGGAUGGCCUCACUUAGAAAAGGCCCAAAUUGCUUAAAAGAUAAAGGACAAUGGCACACUUGAGGGGAAGCUAUACUCCCCAGAGAACAAAGAAAAGACUCACUUUGCCAAAUAAAAAAAUAGACUCAUUUAAGAGAUAAGAAGUUUGUCCAAAUAGUUAAAAUAUAUAUAAUAGACUUUAAGAUUUUAGCCAAGAGAGACAAUAAAAAAGUAUAAAAUACGUCAAUAAAUAAAUGCUUAACAAACAAACAAGACAAAGAGACCUAGAGAGUUUAAUGAAAAGUCGAAGUAAACUUCACUGAGAUAAAAACCAGAAAAAUAUAAUCUCCUAGUGCUUGUAGAUACUUUUUCAGAAAUAGACAGAAGCUUUCCUCACCAAACGAGAGACGGCCUCUGCAAUCAUCAAGAAGAUACUGAAAGAAAUCUUCCCCAGGUCUGGAAUGCCCAAGGUAAUCUGGUCAGACAACGGUCCUACUUUCGUUGCCAAGGUAAGCCAGGGUGUGGCCAAAUAUUUAGAGGUCGAUUGGAAAUUACAUUAUAUUUACAGACCUCAAAGUUCAAGACAGGUAGAGUAAAUAAACAGAACUCUAAAAGAGACCCUAAACAAAUUGACCAUGGAGACUGGCACAGACUGGGUGACACUCCUUCCCUCUUGCUCUCUUCAGAGCAAGAAAUACCCCUUCCAGAUUCAGCCUUACCCACUUUGAGAUCUUAUAUGGGGCCUCAGCUCCCCUGACUGUAUUAGAUGAUGUUACUGAACCAACAUGUCAUAGUAAUAAUGAUUUGUGUGCCAGGCUAAAAGACCUACAGGUGAUACAGAAAGAAAUCUGCUCACAGCUGACAGCAGCCUAUGCCCCGGAGACCCCUGAGACAUCCCAUCAGUUCCAGGUCGGAAGCAGCUACACUGAGCCCAGACACUCGAUCCUCGCUGGAAAGGACCAUACCUGGUGCUGCUGACCACCCUGACAGCCGUCAAUUCUCAGCCCUCACCAGCCGUGUACUAGCUGUUAGGGCUGAGAGCUGGGACCUAGAGAGAAAUUCAGUCAUGUUUGUCCUGGGUUCCAUCGAGAUAGGUGUGGGGAUAGGCUUGAUUUCUAUUACAAAUAAUGUAACAUUACAUAUGUUAGUACUCCUAACACUUCUUGGGACUGUGCCUCAGGGAUCACAACCUAUAUAAGUUUAGAAGUUCUGAAAGACAGUCAUGACCUUGGUGUAUAGGUUCAGAUAGUGUCCAGAUUGGAAUCCUGAUGCUAAAGACUUAGUAAGAGACAAAAAAAAGGAGUUGAGAAUUACUUAGGGCUAGGGCUAUCUAGGUGCUACAAGGGCAGCACAAGGACAUCUGCUGUUGCCCUACAAUACAAGGCUUAUAGAGAAUUCAGAACUGCCAUUGACUCAGAUAUAAAAAGAGUAAAAGACUUUUUAGCUGACCUCCAAGAAUACCUAACUUCCCUCUCAGAGGUAGUCCUUCAAAAUAAGAAAAGAUCAGACCUGAUAUUCCUUAAAGAAGGAAUCUGUGUGCUACACUGAAAGAAAAAUGUUGCUUCUAUACAGACCAUUCAGGAGUAAUUAAAGACUCCAUAAAUAAACUUAAAAAAAGGUUAGACAAAAGACAGACAGACAGAAAAACACAUCAGAGAUAGUUCGAGAGCUAGUUUAGUAGAUCUCCCUGGAUGACUACCCUACUCUCUGCUACAGCUGGGCCAUUAUUAAUAAUUUUCUUGGUUUUAGUUUUUGGCUCCUGCGUGACAAACAGGUUAAUUGCUUUUGUUAAAAAUUGAGUGGGUGCUGUGCGGUUGAUGGUCCUGAGACAACAGUACCAGUCAGUUAGGACAACUGGUGAGACCAAAUAAGACUUGAUAUCAAAAUUCUAAGAUUAGAAUUAUUUAGUAGGAGAAGACGGGAAUGAAAAGAAAAUUAUACAAAUUCUAGGUUUAGAAAUAUAAAAUUAAAAGAGUUAGCCCCAAAAGCCACAAACUCAGGGCUAAGCCCUGCCGCCAGGAAUAACAGGCCAUAAAGAUAAAGAAAAGGAAUGCAGGAUCCAGCUCAGGCUAUCGAGGACUGACCCAUAAACCAUCCAAAGACGUCCCCCCAGCUUACUCAGAGUCAUACUUUAACCAGAUGUCCUCCAGACCCUGAUAAGCCCCUACUUGUGCUUUUCAGCCAUUGUGUCCUGCAGAGAGCACUCCAAGAAACCGGACAGCCCAAGCCUAACCAGAGGUGUUUCAAAUACAAAUGCUCCAUCAGUUUUGACAAACGUUUAAAAAUAAUGAGGACCUGAAGACCCUACCCUUCUCCUGAUUUAGUAGCUCUGUUCCAGGAACCAGGGGGCCAUAAAACCUUCUGGCGUCCCCUUAUCUCCUGGAGCCAUAAAACAAUCUUGUAACUUGUGGUACAUUCCCCUUUGACAUCCCCCAUCCCCUGGUGCUCACAGCCUCUGCCUUUAAAUACUCUUUUUCCCAGCCUCUCGGGGUCGACACCUCUGUCUCCUGCGUGGGAUAUGUGUCGGCCCGGAGAUCUCUGUAAUAGGUCUCCGUAAUAAACCUCGCCUUUGCUUAUUACAUCCAAAA
Molecule: non-coding RNA, 6506 nt
Organism: Rattus norvegicus (Norway rat)
Lineage: Eukaryota; Metazoa; Chordata; Mammalia; Rodentia; Muridae
Source: RefSeq, a predicted model, not a curated record